RNAcentral lists this ribosomal RNA (301 nucleotides) under uncultured bacterium. Its description in RNAcentral is "partial 16S ribosomal RNA". It matches the Rfam family "Bacterial small subunit ribosomal RNA", at positions 509 to 807 of the family's 1533-position model. The record is from RNAcentral.
CAGUAGCCGCGGUAAUACGCAGGUGGCAAGCGUUGUCCGGAAUUAUUGGGCGUAAAGGGCUCGCAGGCGGUUUCUUAAGUCUGAUGUGAAAGCCCCCGGCUCAACCGGGGAGGGUCAUUGGAAACUGGGAAACUUGAGUGCAGAAGAGGAGAGUGGAAUUCCACGUGUAGCGGUGAAAUGCGUAGAGAUGUGGAGGAACACCAGCGGCGAAGGCGACUCUCUGGUCUGUAACUGACGCUGAGGAGCGAAAGCGUGGGGAGCGAACAGGAUUAGAUACCCCCGUAGUCCCUGUCUCUUAUAC